This 406-nucleotide ribosomal RNA is filed under the name uncultured bacterium. Its description in RNAcentral is "partial 16S ribosomal RNA". It matches the Rfam family "Bacterial small subunit ribosomal RNA", at positions 30 to 526 of the family's 1533-position model. The record is from RNAcentral.
AUUGAACGCUGACGGCAGGCCUAACACAUGCAAGAAGAAAGAGAGGCGGACGGGUGAGUCAUGUCUGGGAAAAUGCCCGAUGGAGGGGGAUAACUACUGGAAACGGUAGCUAAUACAGCAUACUACAGGAUGUGCCCAGAUGGGAUUAGCUAGUAGGUGAGGUAACGGCUAAACUAGGCGACGAUCCCUAGCUGGUCGGAGAGGAUGACCAGCCACACUGGAACUGAGACACGGUCCCGACACCUACGUGAGGCAGCAGUGGGGAAUAUUGCACAAUGGGCGCAAGCCUGAUGCAGCCAUGCCGCGUGUAUGAAGAAGGCCUUCGGGUUGUAAAGUACUUUCAGCGAGGAGGCGUUACUCGCAGAAGAAGCACCGGCUAACUCCGUGCCAGCCACCGCGGUAAUUC